Molecule: ribosomal RNA, 580 nt
Filed under: Stylaster sp. A AL-2008
Lineage: Eukaryota; Metazoa; Cnidaria; Hydrozoa; Anthoathecata; Stylasteridae
Description: partial 16S large subunit ribosomal RNA
Rfam family: Bacterial large subunit ribosomal RNA
Source: RNAcentral
CCUAGAACCAAUCUAAGGUGUAACCUGCCCAAUGGUUUUCAAGUUAAUAAGUAUAACCAUUUUAAAAGAAAACUUAAAGGACGCAGUAACCUGACUGUGAUAAUGUAGCAUAAUCAUUCGCCAUUUAAUUGAUGGAUAGUAUGAAUGGUUAAACGAGUUCUUCACUGUCUCAGAAAGAGAAACCAUGAAAUUAAAAUAAUAGUCAAGAUGCUAUUUAAAAUUGUAAGACGAAAAGACCCUAUAGAGCUUAACUAUAUUCUCUUUAAAAUACUACUAAAACAUUAAAGAGAAAGGUAGUUUAGUUGGGGCGACUAUCUUCUAAAAAAAACGAAGAUAAACAAAAUUAAUAAUGAAUUUACUGUAUAAUAUAUAAAUUUAACAGUUACAAAAGUAGGUUAUAUUGACCCGUUAUGUUAAAGUGAUAAAAAUAACGAUCAAUAAAUAAAAGCUACCUUAGGGAUAACAGGAUAAUUUUGUUCUAGAGACCUUAUCGAAAACAAAGUUUGUCACCUCUAUGUUGAAUUAAGAUAUCCUAGUAGUGCAGAAUUUACUAAGGGUAGGUCUGUUCGACCUUUAAAAU